Molecule: long non-coding RNA, 2133 nt
Organism: Rhagoletis pomonella (apple maggot)
Lineage: Eukaryota; Metazoa; Arthropoda; Insecta; Diptera; Tephritidae
Exons: 3
Source: RefSeq, a predicted model, not a curated record
UUAAAAGAAAAAAAUUUCAGGCGAUUCUGGAUACCCGCUGGAGCCAUGCCUGAUGACACCUUCACCAAACGAGCCAGAAGGAACACCAAAGUUUCGCUACAACGAGGCGCUAUGUAAAGCACGUAACCCGAUCGAGAGACUCUUUGGCGUCCUUAAAGGCAAAUGGCGGUGCUUAUCACGGCAAAGAGUACUUUUGUAUGACCCCGGCUUUGCUGGCGGAGUAGUUAACGCGUGCGCAACAUUGCAUAACGUUCGUUUGGGCGAUCAAACAACCGAUUUUGACGAUCGGGUUGUUUAUGAUCCCGAAAUACUAAGCACUAAUGACGAUUCCGCAGCACCUUCUUCAGUAGCGAAACGUGUUCAGCAACGAAUUAUAGCAAAUUUUUUUUUAAAUAUUCCUAUAACUUAAUAUAUGCCGUCAACGAUCGUCUCGAUGAUAGGCCAGCCAUCCACCAAGAGACGCAAGUAAGUACCAUUAUAGCAAAUUAUAUCAACUUAUUUAUUUUACAUGAGUUCGCUUUUAUCAUGGAUGACUGCCUUUAUUUUCUAGAUUUGUUCAAUGCACGUUAACUAACGCCUUUAUUUGUUAUCCGUUUUUUAUCAUCUUCCUCUGCACAAUAAAAUGGGCAACGCUUUUUGCAUUAUAUGUAAUGCAUAUUCAACAAAUCAACAGUAUUUAUUUUUCACGUUCAAUGAACAUUCUUGGCGAGCCGUUAAAUGGCACCGCUAAACCUGCGAACUAACCAGCUAAAUUUAUUGAUUUUGAUAGCCUCAAUGAAAAAUUUCCACACCUGCGCCGGCUUUAGUAGCAAUGUAUGCACGAUUGCUCGUUCAUACGAAAUCGAACCGGUGGACAUUAAAAGGAUUCUUGCAGCAAUUGUUGCCCGCUGUUUCCAAGCAUCAAUACAGCCUAUAUUGCUGACAAUGUUCCUAAAUCUAUUACAAAACAACCAACCCAACAGCGCCCUUACACUGUGCGGGCGUUUCGCAGUAAGCCAAUAAAAAACAAUUGAAUUUGUGAGUGCCGGUGCUGUUGUGAAGGGUUAUUCAUGGAUACCACAAAAAGAGAUACAAAGCUACAUCAAUGCUGUUGGCAUAAUACUCGCUUCUCUGCCUGAGAAAUAUUGGAAUGCAAAUGAUCACCAUAGUGAGCCACUGAUACCUAUGUGUGUUCAGUUGGUAAUUGCAUUCCGCAUUCUUUUUGGCAUGGUCGUUUGUUGAACCAGCCCACAUAACAGACGCUCGUUUGGCAAGUUCUAUUUCCGUUGAUUGAUAAUGUGCGUGCGCUUUCCAGUACGGGAAGCAGUGAGAAGGUGGAUGGUGCUGCCUUGAGUAAAAAUUGUGAAGACUCGCUGGCCGCACUAAAAUCGCUGCAAGAAAUUAUGCAUGACAAUGCAGACAAAUUGGCGUCACUUACUAACGAGGAAACAGCGGAAUCAAAGAUGAUGAAUUUGCAGGGUGAGUUGUGUUUAGCGGGAAGUUUAGUACCUUUUUAGAUCUCUUAUUCAUUUCUUGUACGUAGAUUGCAUGGAAUAUUUGGCUAAAUAUCGGCAUUGAAAGCACAAAGAUCACAACGAAAAACAACCAUGCCAAAGAGGAGUUUUAUGUGCCUAUUCAGGCAUUUUUAACAGCGCUAAUACAAAUUUUCUAGCACAUACAACUGCGGGGGUGAUACAUCAUUGAAUUCGAAUGUCUUAACUGGGCGCUUGGCGGUUACUGCUUUACUACAUCGAUUCCAAUACGUUUUGAAGCGUUUCAAUGACGACGAACGGCUGAUGGGCGCCGUGCAAGGGUCACAGUAGUUCAUUCCGGGGUAUUGGUCGUAACUAUCAGUGAAGUGCACAGCUGCCAAAUGAGCAUUAAGUCAAUUAAAGAACCAGUUUGAUAACAAAGAAGGAUCAUACCACAACAUUACCGGCACCCUGACACUUAUUGAAUAAGUACCAAUUAAGUAAAUAACAAACCGUCACCUGAAAUGCAAAAAGACGUAAGAAUAUCGUAAAUUAUAUUGAAAAAGUCGUGACUAAUAUUUUAAUUAUUUUUUUCAUAAAAUGAUGUGGGAAGUUGUAACUCGUUGAAAUCCAUUAUAUAAAUCAAAAAGUAAAUUUUGAAUUUUUUAUUAGUUAUGACUUU